GAUGAACGCUGGCGGCGUGCCUAACACAUGCAAGUCGAGCGAUUCUCUUCGGAGAAGAGCGGCGGACGGGUGAGUAACGCGUGGGUAACCUGCCCUGUACACACGGAUAACAUACCGAAAGGUAUGCUAAUACGAGAUAAUAUGCUUUUAUCGCAUGGUAGAAGUAUCAAAGCUCCGGCGGUACAGGAUGGACCCGCGUCUGAUUAGCUAGUUGGUAAGGUAACGGCUUACCAAGGCGACGAUCAGUAGCCGACCUGAGAGGGUGAUCGGCCACAUUGAGACUGAGACACGGUCAAAACUACUACGGGAGGCAGCAGUGGGGAAUAUUGCACAAUGUGCGAAAGACUGAGGCAGCAACGCCGCGUGAGCGAUGAAGGCCUUCGGGUCGAAAAGCUCUGUCCUCAAGGAAGAUAAUGACGGUACUUGAGGAGGAAGCCCCGGCUAACUACGUGCCAGCAGCCGCCGUAA
This 468-nucleotide ribosomal RNA is filed under the name uncultured bacterium. Its description in RNAcentral is "partial 16S ribosomal RNA". It matches the Rfam family "Bacterial small subunit ribosomal RNA", at positions 28 to 523 of the family's 1533-position model. The record is from RNAcentral.